RNAcentral lists this ribosomal RNA (253 nucleotides) under uncultured bacterium. RNAcentral describes it as "partial 16S ribosomal RNA". It matches the Rfam family "Bacterial small subunit ribosomal RNA", at positions 524 to 776 of the family's 1533-position model. The record is from RNAcentral.
UACGUAGGGGGCUAGCGUUGUCCGGAAUCAUUGGGCGUAAAGCGCGCGUAGGCGGCCAGAUAAGUCCGGUGUGAAAGUCACAGGCUCAACCUGUGAAUGCCGCUGGAAACUGUCUGGCUUGAGUCCGGAAGGGGCGAGUGGAAUUCCUGGUGUAGCGGUGAAAUGCGCAGAUAUCAGGAGGAACACCAAUAGCGAAGGCAGCUCGCUGGGACGUUACUGACACUGAGGCGCGAAAGCGUGGGGAGCGAACAGG